AUCGCUUCUUGGCCUUUGGCUAAGAUCAAAGUGUAGUAUCUGUUCUUAACAAAAUAUAAUUUUGUGCUUUUAGGAGAUCUCAACAUUCGUGUACUACUGUAUGCGGUUGAUAUUGUACUGAUUGCCGACAAGCCGGAGAUUUUACAGCAAAUGAUUAAUUCAUU
RNAcentral lists this small nuclear RNA (164 nucleotides) under Rhodnius prolixus. Its description in RNAcentral is "U2 spliceosomal RNA". It matches the Rfam family "U2 spliceosomal RNA". Rfam says of the family: U2 is a small nuclear RNA (snRNA) component of the spliceosome (involved in pre-mRNA splicing). Complementary binding between U2 snRNA (in an area lying towards the 5' end but 3' to hairpin I) and the branchpoint sequence (BPS) of the intron results the bulging out of an unpaired adenosine, on the BPS, which initiates a nucleophilic attack at the intronic 5' splice site, thus starting the first of two transesterification reactions that mediate splicing. Lineage: Eukaryota; Metazoa; Arthropoda; Insecta; Hemiptera; Reduviidae. The record is from Rfam by way of RNAcentral.